UUAAAUUAUACUUUGCGUCUUACAUUUUCUUCCGUUGCCUAGCGACAGGCGAAUGACGCGCCAGAUGCAUGCGUCAUACGUCAGACACGCCGCCGAAGCGAGCGAGACCGGCUGCGCAUCUCAGCGGUGGCCUGUUCGGCGACCCGUCUGCCUGUUUUUCUAUUUUUGGAUUUAGCCUGGUUUGUUGGGCUCCCGGCGAAUUCUUGCGUUCCUUCUGCACUUCGACACGGCACCACUGCACUAUUGGACUACGGCAAGCUGACGCCGUCCGGUGGAGCUUCGUACAGGAACUACUGCUGCUUACCUGGUGCCACAACGUUGCACAAAUGCACAAAAAGCCCGCAACGAGCAUUUAUAUAGAAUAAAAUAAACAUUCCCUCAUUUCACAA
Dermacentor andersoni is the source of this 389-nucleotide long non-coding RNA. RefSeq lists it as uncharacterized. NCBI's taxonomy places the organism in Eukaryota, Metazoa, Arthropoda, Arachnida, Ixodida, Ixodidae. The record is from RefSeq and is a predicted model, not a curated record.